UGGGGAAUAUUGCGCAAUGGGGGGAACCCUGACGCAGCCAUGCCGCGUGAAUGAAGAAGGCCUUAGGGUUGUAAAGUUCUUUCGGUAUUGAGGAAGGUUGACGUGUUAAUAGCACAUCAAAUUGACGUUAAAUACAGAAGAAGCACCGGCUAACUCCGUGCCAGCAGCCGCGGUAAUACGGAGGGUGCGGGCGUUAAUCGGAAUAACUGGGCGUAAAGGGCACGCAGGCGGUUAUUUAAGUGAGGUGUGAAAGCCCCGGGCUUAACCUGGGAAUUGCAUUUCAGACUGGGUAACUAGAGUACUUUAGGGAGGGGUAGAAUUCCACGUGUAGCGGUGAAAUGCGUAGAGAUGUGGAGGAAUACCGAAGGCGAAGGCAGCCCCUUGGGAAUGUACUGACGCUCAUGUGCGAAAGCGUGGGGAGCAAACAGGAUUAGAUACCCUGGUAGUCCACGCUGUAAACGCUGUCGAUUUGGGGGUUGGGGUUUAACUCUGGCGCCCGUAGCUAACGUGAUAAAUCGACCGCCUGGGGAGUACGGCCGCAAGGUUA
RNAcentral lists this ribosomal RNA (547 nucleotides) under uncultured bacterium. RNAcentral's name for it is "bacterial SSU rRNA". It matches the Rfam family "Bacterial small subunit ribosomal RNA", at positions 355 to 896 of the family's 1533-position model. The record is from RNAcentral.